UUACGGCUAUAUCACGUUGAAACACCGGUUCUCGUACGAUCCCUGAAGUUAAGCAACAUCAAGCUUGGUCAGUAUCUAGAUGGGCGAACAUUUGGGAGUAACAGAUGCAGUA
This is a non-coding RNA of Acanthosepion pharaonis, 112 nucleotides long. The record is from the annotation of a GenBank genome assembly. NCBI's taxonomy places the organism in Eukaryota, Metazoa, Mollusca, Cephalopoda, Sepiida, Sepiidae.